Molecule: ribosomal RNA, 490 nt
Filed under: uncultured bacterium
Lineage: Bacteria
Description: partial 16S ribosomal RNA
Rfam family: Bacterial small subunit ribosomal RNA
Source: RNAcentral
GAUGAACGCUAGCUCCAGGCUUAACACAUGCAAGUCGAGGGGAAACGAUGAGAGAGCUUGCUCUCUUAGGCGUCGACCGGCGCACGGGUGAGUAACGCGUAUCCAACCUACCCAUUACAGGGGGAUAACCUUGCGAAAGUAAGACUAAUACCCCAUGGCAUUUUAUGGUGGCAUCAUUAUAGGAUUAAAGAUUUAUUGGUAAUGGAUGGGGAUGCGUCUGAUUAGCUUGUUGGCGGGGUAACGGCCCACCAAGGCAACGAUCAGUAGGGGUUCUGAGAGGAAGGUCCCCCACAUUGGAACUGAGACACGGUCCAAACUCCUACGGGAGGCAGCAGUGAGGAAUAUUGGUCAAUGGGCGAGAGCUUGAACCAGCCAAGUAGCGUGCAGGAUGACGGCCCUAUGGGUUGUAAACUGCUUUUAUAGGGGAAUAAAGUGAGCUACGUGUAGUUUAUUGCAUGUACCCUAUGAAUAAGGACCGGCUAAUUCCGUG